UCUCCAGUGACCAUGGGUUCGAGAUGCUGC
This 30-nucleotide non-coding RNA is filed under the name Rattus norvegicus (Norway rat). Lineage: Eukaryota; Metazoa; Chordata; Mammalia; Rodentia; Muridae. The record is from RNAcentral.